UACAUAGGGAGCAAGCGUUGUCCGGAAUCAUUGGGCGUAAAGCGCGCGUAGGUGGCUUCGUAAGUCCGUUGUGAAAGUCAAAGGCUCAACCUUUGAAAGCCGAUGGAUACUGUGAAGCUAGAGUACGGAAGAGGCGAGUGGAAUUCCUGGUGUAGCGGUGGAAUGCGCAGAUAUCAGGAGGAACACCAAUAGCGAAGGCAGCUCGCUGGGACGUUACUGACACUGAGGCGCGAAAGCGUGGGGAGCGAACAGG
Molecule: ribosomal RNA, 253 nt
Filed under: uncultured bacterium
Lineage: Bacteria
Description: partial 16S ribosomal RNA
Rfam family: Bacterial small subunit ribosomal RNA
Source: RNAcentral